AUGGGAUGGAGCUGUAUCAUACUCUUCCUUGUGUCCGUAACUAUAGGUGUCCGAUCACAGGUCCUGCUGCAACAGUCUGGGCCUGAGCUUGGGAGACCUGGUUCCUCAGUGAAGUUGUCAUGCAAGGCUUCAGGCUAUACUUUCAGUAGAUACAAUAUGAACUGGGUGAGACAGAGGACUGGACAAGGCCUGGAGUGGACUGGAUGGAUUGAUACUACAAGUGGAAAUACUAAAUAUGCACAGAAUUUCCAGGGCAAGGCCACACUGAAUAGAGACGUAUCCUCCAGCAUGGCGUACAUGGAGGUCAGCAGCCUGACAUCUGAGGACUCUGCCAUCUAUUCCUGUGCAAGACACCCAGUGUUGCACCCACAUCCUGAGUGUGUCAGAGACCAUGGAGGAGCAGGAAACUACCCAAGAAUGGAGAUGACAGAGACGAUCAGUCUGGGAAAACUGCAGAACUUGUCACUGUUUGUGCCUGACAGGGGCCAAUUGUCCUUGUCCUUAGGUACCACUAAAGAUGUCAAACUUGGCCUGGUGAAAAUUCUGAGACCUCCUUUUAACCCAAAUUCUCUCAUCAAGAUCAUGUCUCAGCAGAAUGUGUAA
Molecule: non-coding RNA, 603 nt
Organism: Mesocricetus auratus (golden hamster)
Lineage: Eukaryota; Metazoa; Chordata; Mammalia; Rodentia; Cricetidae
Source: the annotation of a RefSeq genome assembly